UCAUCUGGUAUAGCGUCUGUU
This 21-nucleotide non-coding RNA is filed under the name Arabidopsis thaliana (thale cress). The record is from RNAcentral. Lineage: Eukaryota; Viridiplantae; Streptophyta; Magnoliopsida; Brassicales; Brassicaceae.